UAACGAAUCUUCCGCAAUGGGCGAAAGCCUGACGGAGCAAUGCCGCGUGUGGGAUGAAGCGCCUUCGGCGUGUAAACCACUGUCAGGGAAUGGAACCAAUGAUUAUUCCCAAAGGAAGUGGCGACUAACUCUGUGCCAGCAGUCGCGGUAAUACAGAGGCCACAAGCGUUAGUCGGAAUCACUGGGCUUAAAGGGUGCGUAGGCGGGCCCGCAAGCGUCUUGUGAAAUCCCAUGGCUCAACCAUGGAAUUGCAGGGCGAACUGCGGGUCUUGAGGCAGGUAGGGGCCGGAAGAACAGUAGGUGGAGCGGUGAAAUGCGUAGAUAUCUACUGGAAUGCCGAUGGGGAAGCCGUCCGGCUGGGCCUGUCCUGACGCUGAGGCACGAAAGCGUGGGGAGCAAACAGGAUUAGAUACCCUAGUAGUCCCUGAGCGGGCUGGCAAGGCGCAU
Molecule: ribosomal RNA, 447 nt
Filed under: uncultured bacterium
Lineage: Bacteria
Description: bacterial SSU rRNA
Rfam family: Bacterial small subunit ribosomal RNA
Source: RNAcentral